GACGAACGCUGGCGGCGUGCUUAACACAUGCAAGUCGAACGGAAAGGCCCCUUUGGGGGUACUCGAGUGGCGAACGGGUGAGUAACACGUGAGCAACCUGCCCUUGACUUCGGGAUAACUUCAGGAAACUGGGGCUAAUACCGGAUAGGAAUCCUUGCUGCAUGGUGGGGGUUGGAAAGCUUCGGCGGUUUUGGAUGGACUCGCGGCUUAUCAGCUUGUUGGUGGGGUAGUGGCUUACCAAGGCUUUGACGGGUAGCCGGCCUGAGAGGGCGACCGGCCACAUUGGGACUGAGAUACGGCCCAGACUCCUACGGGAGGCAGCAGUGGGGAAUAUUGCACAAUGGGCGGAAGCCUGAUGCAGCAACGCCGCGGGCGGGAUGACGGCCUUCGGGUUGUAAACCGCUUUCAGCAGGGGCGAAGCUUGUGGUGACGGUACCUGCAGAAGAAGCACCGGCUAACUACGUG
RNAcentral lists this ribosomal RNA (465 nucleotides) under uncultured bacterium. RNAcentral describes it as "partial 16S ribosomal RNA". It matches the Rfam family "Bacterial small subunit ribosomal RNA", at positions 28 to 507 of the family's 1533-position model. The record is from RNAcentral.